This 91-nucleotide non-coding RNA is filed under the name Thiohalomonas denitrificans. Lineage: Bacteria; Pseudomonadati; Pseudomonadota; Gammaproteobacteria; Thiohalomonadales; Thiohalomonadaceae. The record is from RNAcentral.
CGCGCUGGGGAGCAAUUUCCAGCGUGAUCGGGCAGAAGUCAGCAGAGGUCAUAGUAAUCGCGGUAUCUGGAGCGAUGCCGCGGUGAAGGAC